This is a long non-coding RNA of Musa acuminata AAA Group (dessert banana), 397 nucleotides long. RefSeq lists it as uncharacterized. The transcript is spliced from 2 exons. The record is from RefSeq and is a predicted model, not a curated record. NCBI's taxonomy places the organism in Eukaryota, Viridiplantae, Streptophyta, Magnoliopsida, Zingiberales, Musaceae.
AUCCGUAGCCCAAUCAGUGUCGAGGUUUUGCCGCUGCUGCUCUUCUUCGGCGAAUCUGCGAGCGGCCGAAGAGAGAGAAAAAGUUCGCCGAGAUGUUCGAGCUGUUCGUCCUUGGGUGCACCGGCGUGGUGGUCUUCCUACACGGCGCCAACUUUUUCUUCCGCGCCCUGUCCCACCGUCUCACCGCCCGUCCUCUCAGCUUCUUGGGAGUCGGGUGGUGGUAGGGCUUCGGUCGCGGAAGAAUCCGUGGUGAUUCCUCCUCCAUGCGCCACACGACUCAUGAUCUGAGUCUGUCCAUGAAUUAAUCGACGAAGGCGAAGCAUGUAAUCAUUGUAGAAAGACUCUGACCAACUAUAAUUUGGUGUCUUUAUCGUGAAUGGAGAUCUACUAUUCUACA